CAUCUUGGACAAUAGGGGAAACCCUGAUCCAGCCACCCCGCGUGUAUGAUGAAGGCCUUCGGGUUGUAAAGUACUUUUUGCAGAGAAGAAAAGGUAUCUCCUAAUACGAGAUACUGCUGACGGUAUCUGCAGAAUAAGCACCGGCUAACUACGUGCCCGCAGCCGCGGUAAUUCGUAGGGUGCAAGCGUUAAUCGGAAUUACUGGGCGUAACGCGUGUGUAGGCGGUUCGGAAAGAAAGAUGAGAAAUCCCAGGGCUCGAACUUGGAACUGCAAUUUUAACUGCCGAGCUAGAGUAUGUCAGAGGGGGGUAGAAUUCCACGUGUAGCAGUGGAAUGCGUAGAUAUGUGGAGGAAUACCGAUGGCGAAGGCAGCCCCCUGGGAUAAUACUGACGCUCAGACACGAAAGCGUGGGGAGCAAACA
Molecule: ribosomal RNA, 422 nt
Filed under: uncultured bacterium
Lineage: Bacteria
Description: partial 16S ribosomal RNA
Rfam family: Bacterial small subunit ribosomal RNA
Source: RNAcentral